AUCGCUUCUCAGCCUUUUGGCUAAGAUCAAGUAUAGAAAUAGAUCUUUUAAAAAUACAGAUUCUUUGCAGACUGAAACAUUUUUUGCAAAGAAUUUGAUUUGCUUGAGUAUGCAUAUUUAUGACAAGUAUCCUCCUC
Molecule: small nuclear RNA, 137 nt
Organism: Monodelphis domestica (gray short-tailed opossum)
Lineage: Eukaryota; Metazoa; Chordata; Mammalia; Didelphimorphia; Didelphidae
Gene: U2
Rfam family: U2 spliceosomal RNA
About the family: U2 is a small nuclear RNA (snRNA) component of the spliceosome (involved in pre-mRNA splicing). Complementary binding between U2 snRNA (in an area lying towards the 5' end but 3' to hairpin I) and the branchpoint sequence (BPS) of the intron results the bulging out of an unpaired adenosine, on the BPS, which initiates a nucleophilic attack at the intronic 5' splice site, thus starting the first of two transesterification reactions that mediate splicing.
Source: Ensembl